AGAAAGAAGGAAGUUGAAUUCAUUUAGAAAAGAGAAUUCCACAUGAGCUUAAUUUCCUUUUUUCU
Molecule: microRNA precursor, 65 nt
Organism: Gorilla gorilla gorilla (western lowland gorilla)
Lineage: Eukaryota; Metazoa; Chordata; Mammalia; Primates; Hominidae
Source: Ensembl